Molecule: non-coding RNA, 876 nt
Organism: Drosophila melanogaster (fruit fly)
Lineage: Eukaryota; Metazoa; Arthropoda; Insecta; Diptera; Drosophilidae
Source: Ensembl
AUAUAUUGAUGUUUAUUGAAUCGAACGUGAGCAACUAGUAUUUUGAUUUCAAAAUAUUUCCAAAUUUUAAUACGAGAUGUAUGAAGAUACACUCUCAAAGUUUCCCCUUUGCAGUCAAGUGUAAUUGAAAUUGUGCGCCGUUCGCGACACGAAUUCAAUUGGAAAAGUAAACAAAUCAGAAAAAGGUAUCUGCGCGACAUUAGCGCAGUCCCAUCGCCAAAAGCUGUCCAAAUGGCAUGAAACUAUGUCGACGGCUUGGUUCCUGUCGAUGAUGUCGGGCCUCCUGGUUCCCGGCCGCUCCAAGCUGCUUUCGAGUCCUGCGAGUGGCGCUGCGGCCGAGUCCUGCCGGAAGCCAAACGCAAAACAUUUCUAAUUUCGGCUCUGAUGUUGAUGAAUGGCGAUGGACAAGAGCAGGUGGCAACGGCAGCGGAAGCGGCCAAAACGCGACAACAAGCCACCCAUCCACACAAUCCCCAAUGACCCAAUGACCCCCCCCCCCCCCCACAAGAGCACCUAUCCACCCACCCAAAUGAAUGGAAAUCGGGAAUGGGGACAGGAGCGAAGGCGACGGCGAUGGGUGGCCAAAUGUCAAUUGUCGGGGCCAAAUCCGGCCCGAUGGGACUUCGAAUGGGUCUGGCGUUGAGAAUGGGGCAGUGGAUAUGGCGAAUGGAACGACCAUUUGUUCAGGAGGCCUCGCGGUGACGUGUCGCAGAAACUUUAGCUUAAAGAGUGCACAACUAAAAAAGAAGUAUAACAUACCUCUCAUUAUGCAACCUUUUCAAAGGUGUUUCAACCAUUGCGAAAUCAUUGUCAAUCAAAAUAUAUUAUAUACGCUUCUUUUAAAUUUCAUAAAAUCGAUGCUGUAUAAUAAUUGAC